AUGUCGUUAUGGUCUGAUACAUUGAAAUAUUGCUAUUGCCUUUAUGUUAGUGUUGUUUUGUUCAUAUAUUUGCUACUGUUGUGUUGUUUGGUCCAUAUGCCUCAUUUAGAGCCAAAAUUUUUUUGGAUGAAUACCCAGCCUUCAUUUCCUGGCGCCGCCACUGUGUGUGCUGCUUGUCCGAGUAGAGGUUCGUGGGCACAAUGUACGUCGAUGCCGGUGACUCUCCAAGAUGGUGGCUUUCUCUGGACCAGAGUCCCGCCACCCACUCGCUAUGUCCCGUCGGCAUUCGAGGGUGGUUGA
Molecule: ribosomal RNA, 300 nt
Filed under: Triticum aestivum (bread wheat)
Lineage: Eukaryota; Viridiplantae; Streptophyta; Magnoliopsida; Poales; Poaceae
Description: partial small subunit ribosomal RNA
Source: RNAcentral